Molecule: ribosomal RNA, 253 nt
Filed under: uncultured bacterium
Lineage: Bacteria
Description: partial 16S ribosomal RNA
Rfam family: Bacterial small subunit ribosomal RNA
Source: RNAcentral
UACGUAGGGGGCGAGCGUUGUCCGGAUUUAUUGGGCGUAAAGAGCGUGUAGGCGGCCAGGUAGGUCUGCUGUGAAAACUCGAGGCUCAACCUCGAGACGUCGGUUGAAACCGUAUGGCUAGAGUCCGGAAGAGGAGAGUGGAAUUCCCGGUGUAGCGGUGAAAUGCGCAGAUAUCGGGAAGAACACCCGUGGCGAAGGCGGCUCUCUGGGACGGUACUGACGCUGAGACGCGAAAGCGUGGGGAGCGAACAGG